AUCGUAUUGGACUGAUAGCACUUAAUUUCAUCUGAUCUUAGAGGACAGGCGGUGCUGGGCCUUGCUAAUACUUGGAUGGAAGAUAACCUUGGACUCCCAGGGACAACAGAUG
RNAcentral lists this ribosomal RNA (112 nucleotides) under Crocodylus porosus (Australian saltwater crocodile). The record is from RNAcentral. Lineage: Eukaryota; Metazoa; Chordata; Crocodylia; Crocodylidae.